RNAcentral lists this ribosomal RNA (321 nucleotides) under Triticum aestivum (bread wheat). Its description in RNAcentral is "partial small subunit ribosomal RNA". Lineage: Eukaryota; Viridiplantae; Streptophyta; Magnoliopsida; Poales; Poaceae. The record is from RNAcentral.
AUGGGGGCGGCGGAUAUCCGGGGACGAUCGCCGCCAUCGUCACCGCCCUCGGCGGGGGCCCCGCGGCCGUCGGCAUCGUCCGCCUGUCCGGCGCCGACGCCGUCACCGUCGUCGCCCGCGUGUUCCGGCUGGCCAGGAAGGAGCCGGCGCCCUGGAGGCCCCGAAGCCACUUCGUGGAGUACGGGGUCGCGCUGGACGGAGAUGGGGGCGUCAUCGAUGAGGUGCUGGUGGUGCCCAUGCUGGCUCCGAGAUCCUACACCCGAGAGGAUGUGGUGGAGCUCCAGUGCCACGCGAACGACCUUUGCUUGCGUCCCGUGCUGA